Lotus japonicus is the source of this 816-nucleotide long non-coding RNA. RefSeq lists it as uncharacterized. The transcript is spliced from 2 exons. NCBI's taxonomy places the organism in Eukaryota, Viridiplantae, Streptophyta, Magnoliopsida, Fabales, Fabaceae. The record is from RefSeq and is a predicted model, not a curated record.
CCUCUUAUGUCACAUGACAUGAUUAUGUUUUUGUUUCUAUCGUGGAACAUGAGUGAAUCUUAAUCGGACACAUCACACAUAGGAUUCUACAUUGUUACCUUCUCUGUCCUCUUAAGAAAUUGGAGUAAUUGCCUGUGAGUACAUUUAAGAAGUAAUAAGGAGUCAGGACAGGCCUAACACUUUUGGUCUUUGGAGCUUGUAUGUUAGUUGGGGUGGCAUAAUUUGUGACUUUGAAUGGCAGAUAAGACUUAAUAGGUGUGACUUGAGGAAAGUAUGGUAAGUGAUAACGAACUUGUACAUAAAAAAAACAGAUGUGACUUCUUUAAUGAGUGUUAGAACCGUAGAAGCAAGCUUUGUAAGCUGUAAGUAGGUGAUGGAUCCAGCUCCACCUCCUCCUCCAAGCACACCAUUGCUCGAUCCAGGUCCCCCCGGCGGAGGAUUCUUGGAUUUAUGCUUAUGGUGUCUGUGCUGCUGUGGUCUGAUUAACUGCUGUUUCCCUCCCCUCUUCAAACCAGGACCUCCUCCACCUAUCUAGUGGAUAAGAGCCCGUUUGGAUACAGCCUAAAAGCACUUAUUAGAUAAACUCCAAUCUCCAAUAAGUGUUCUUUGGUUCGCAUCCAAACUUGUUCUUAAUGUACCUUUUUAAGCAGCAAUGUUGUUACUUUUUGUAGCUACAGCUCCAAUAAUUCAUGUAGUGUUAAGACAUUGUUUGAGUUUUGUAACUAAAUAAAAUUAUUGGUAAAAUGAUUUGGUCGCUGUUGUUGUUUGUAGCUGUAAGCUUGUAAAUUGUGACAAAUUUGUGGCUUUGAUUUUCUA